RNAcentral lists this ribosomal RNA (400 nucleotides) under uncultured bacterium. RNAcentral's name for it is "bacterial SSU rRNA". It matches the Rfam family "Bacterial small subunit ribosomal RNA", at positions 356 to 773 of the family's 1533-position model. The record is from RNAcentral.
GGGGAAUAUUGCACAAUGGGGGAAACCCUGAUGCAGCGACGCCGCGUGAGUGAAGAAGUAUUUCGGUAUGUAAAGCUCUAUCAGCAGGGAAGAAAAUGACGGUACCUGACUAAGAAGCCCCGGCUAACUACGUGCCAGCAGCCGCGGUAAUACGUAGGGGGCAAGCGUUAUCCGGAUUUACUGGGUGUAAAGGGAGCGUAGGUGGCAAAUCAAGUCAGAUGUGAAAGCCCGGGGCUCAACCACGGGAUUGCAUUUGAAACUGGUAUGCUAGAGUGCAGGAGAGGUAAGUGGAAUUCCUAGUGUAGCGGUGAAAUGCGUAGAUAUUAGGAGGAACACCAGUGGCGAAGGCGGCUUACUGGACUGUAACUGACACUGAGGCUCGAAAGCGUGGGGAGCAAAC